UCUUGUUGACAUCUACAAUUGGGACUAUCAGCAGUCUCAAUUAAGUGAAGAUGCCUUCUAAUAUGACAAUAUCCUUUAAGGAGCUCUGUGAUAAUCCUAGCUUCAUUUUUAUGCAAUGCAAGUAACUCUUGUUCUCUGUACAGAAGGAUCUAAAAUAAGAACCUUUGCUUGUCUUAGUCCAGAAGUAAACCUCCAGUGGGUGAAGGUGAGCUGCCAACCAGUCCUUGAUGACCUGCCCAAAUGAGUCAUCUGGAUUGGCUGUAUGGAAAUACUUUGGCUUUCCAUUCUGGAGGACCCAGGUUCGAAUUUCGGGACCCACCCUUUGAAAAUAAUUAUCAUGAAGUCCGAGCCUUGCCUGUCGAUCCCCAUCCUCCACAAUCUGGCUGAUACCUCUGUAGGUGAAGAGCUCCACAGUGGAAGGGCUUGUUUUGCCCUACCACUUAGUACUCUUACUGAGUGGAAAGUGACAUCAUCUGUUGACAAAAGAAAAAAAAAACUGC
This 500-nucleotide long non-coding RNA is filed under the name Androctonus crassicauda. Lineage: Eukaryota; Metazoa; Arthropoda; Arachnida; Scorpiones; Buthidae. The record is from RNAcentral.